This 4020-nucleotide long non-coding RNA is filed under the name Lactuca sativa (garden lettuce). RNAcentral's name for it is "long non-coding RNA (LSAT_LNC003440)". Lineage: Eukaryota; Viridiplantae; Streptophyta; Magnoliopsida; Asterales; Asteraceae. The record is from RNAcentral.
UUGUACAUUCAAAAAACAUCCGUUUUGCAUUGAAUGUUCAUCAAUGCAUUUUAUUUUUGAAAAAAAAUCCAAUUAAAGCAUUCCAAAACUUCCAUUUUACGUUGAUUUUUCAAAAAUCAUUCCAUUUUCAGCAUUGCACUCACUUUUUCUUUGCUUAACAUCAUUGGAACUUCACUUUUUCAUGUAUGCAUUUUAUUUUGAAAAAAAAUCCAAUUAUAGCAUAAUCAUCCCAUUUUUAGCAUUGUACUUUAACUUUUCUUUCUAUAACAUCAUUGAAACAUCACAGUUUUUAUUAAUCUAUGCAUUUUACCUUGAAAAAAACUUCCAAUUAAAGAAUCCUACUCUAAAAACAUGCAUUUUACAUGAAUUCAAAAAUCAGCCCAUUUUUAGCAUUGUACUUUAACUUUUUAUUAAUCUUAUGCCCAGCUAGCCUGUUGCUUCCCUCUUCUUUUCCCUUCUUGAAACAACGCGUCACUUAACUUCUCCUCUUCCGCCUUUUUUUUUUCUUGAAAUCGAAGCCUCUCACCCCAAAUAUCAACUUAUACGCUCCAACCCCACUGAAGAGAAGACUUGAAAUAUUCUUUGGUUUGAUCUCAGCUAAUCGAACGUCCAGAAUCUUGAAGCAAAGCAGAGAAAUAACGAGUGAUUUUCAUCCUCUUUUUUCUUCGACAUGUCUGCUUUCACCCAAAUCGACGCCUCUCACAGGCGAUGGUCCUUGUGGACGUAGGGUCAGUCUGAUUCCACUAUUUGUUUCCCAAUUUCACAAUCUUGAUGUAUUUUUGAACCUUGUUGGUUUUAAUUUGUUAUUUGGGAAUGCAACAGGUUCUUCUAAGUUCUGAGCUCAUACAGAUAGGUUCUGAAGAGCGUUUAUUGCUAAUUAUAGAGGUAUAUUUUGUUUCUCUUCAUCUUCUCAGACUUAUAUGGGAUAUAUGAUAUCAACCACCUAAUCCUUGGACUAUGGGGAUUCUUGGAUUAGUUGCUGAAAUACAUGCAAUGCCACAUUUCAGUUCUUAUGUUUUCAAUUGAAGUAUGUUUGAAUCUAUGUAUGUGUAGCACAUGUAUAAUUGUGAUUUUGUACAUAUUCUCAUGUUGGUUUUCCCUUUUAGAUAUUUUUCAAGAAUCUUGAUUUGGACAUGAAGGACAGGGUUAGGAAAAUUGAAGGAAACCCUGAUUUCUGUUGCUUCAUCUCAACAAAAUACUGUAAAUCAAGGUGAACUACCACAUAUAUUAUACACCAGGUUUGUUAUGGUUUUGUUUCUAGAGUAUUCAAGCUAUUUCACUAUCUGAUUUUCUGGUGCCUUUUAUUUUGGUGGACAGCAUGCAUUUCCCUACUGCUCCUUUGGUUGAAGAUAUGAAUAUGCUUUUAUUUUUCUCUUUUUAUUUGCUGAAAAACUUAUUGAUCCUUUACUUUUGCAGGGUGCUUCUAAUGGUAGUGGAUAAGGCAAGGGUAUUAAAGAAAUAGUUUCUACUAUAAAUAUUGUCGAGAAAAGUGUUUCAAGCAACAAUGGCACUUUUUUUGAAGGUGUCAUUCUCAUUAAGUUAGUUCUUUUUUUUUUUAAUCCUCCAAAUUCUAAUGAGAACUAUAGCCAUACUAGCUUGAAAUCUGUCUUAUAUUACUAGCAAGGUUCAUUGUUAAACAUUUUCUGUUUUGUUCAUGUGUGAUUGAUUGUGUAUUGUUUUCAUUUUUCAGAUAAUUAAGAAACUCUCAAUACCAUGGUUUGAAUAAUGCAAGUGGAUCCCUUGAACAUGCCUUCAUUGAGAAGCUUCGUUUGAUAAAUGCUAAUAUUAUACUUCUAAAAACAAAAGUUGUGAAUAUAUUUAUUUAACUGUACAAGUUUUUUCCAUUUAUAAUCACAGCUAUGGUUUUAACUGUUAUAUGAUAUGAUGCACAGGGCCAACUACAUAAUCUUUUUAUCUCUCUUGUUGAAGCAUUGAAAAUGAGUGAUGCAAGAGUAGUAUUGUCUGCUCUUCACAAUGUCAUUCACAUUUUAUUCAAGGUCUAUGAUUUUGCUCCUAAUUGCUACAAUCCACCUGUGUCAUCAAUUUUUUUUUUUACAUAUGUUCUAGAAAAAAAAAUCAUUCCAAUAAGGUCCUUUAACUAGUAAGUUAUUGGUGACAUGGGGUCUAUGCAUUUGACAAUUCUAUGACCUUUAUUAUAUUUACCUUUGAUGACGUGUCAAAUACUUNUAGCUAUUUUUUUGCUUAUAAUCAUCUGAUAAGUGCUAAUAUUAGACUUCUAAAAACAAAAGCUGUGAAUAUAUUUAUUUCACUGUACAAGUUUUUCCAUUUAUAAUCACAGCUAUGGUUUUAACUAUUAUAUCAACACAGGGGCAACAACAUAAUCUUUUAUCUCUCUUGUUGAAACACUGAAGAUGAGUGAUGCAAGAGUAGUAUUGUCUGCUCUUCACAAUGUCAUUCAGAUUUUAUCCAAUUGCUAAAAUCCACCUGAGUCACUUGUUGACUAGUUUAACUGGUAACUUUUUGGUGACAUGGUGUCUAGUUGGUAUGCAUUUGAUGACGUGUCAAAUACAUGUCAUGCCAUGUCACCUCACCAAAACUUACCGGUUGGUUGGUUAAACUGGGAAUAGAAUGUCACCAAAACUCUAUGAUUCUUUGAUGGAACAGGUGACACAGCAUCCUGUUCUUUUCUGAACGUGUUUCCUAAUAAUUAAUUAUUCUCAUCUUACUACAUCAUUUUUAACUCCUUAAUUUAUAUUAAUUUCCCAGGUGUCUAUGCUGUUUAUAUUUUAAUGACUGGUUUUCCACUUUUCACAGUGGAAUUGGACAGAGGGUUUCUUUUUGCCAGUUUGAUUCAACCAUUUGUUUCCCAAUUUCACAUUUACUUGAGGUAUUUUUGAAUCCUUUUGGUUUUAAUUUAACUGACUUUUACUAGAGCUGUGAAGUGCCUACGUUUCAUUAAACUUACACUUUUAUUGGGCUUGUGACCUUUUUUUUUUAUUAGAUUAGGGAUUCUGUUAUGGAAUACUAUAAUUGUAGGUUGUUUCUGCGUUUUUAAUUUUCAUGAACGCAAACUAAUGUUUUACUCUUUUUUACAGGAUGUUGCCACCUGAAACCAUGGUGGGCCCCUUCAAACCCCAACCUCAUCUGGAAACCAACAUCUCCAAAGGUUAAUUUCUUGAAACCAAUUACAUCAAUAUUUAUCCAAAUAUAUAGAAAGCAAUUUUGAUAAGACUUGUUAGUUUUAUAUUCAAGAAAAAAGAUUGCACUAUUGCAUUGUGUUUUCAGUUUUUCCCUUAUUAAAGUUAUGCUUCCAGAACUCUUAUCUAUGACCUUUAUUAUAUUUACCUUUAAUGACGUGUCAAAUACUUGCCAUGUCACCUCCCCAAAACUUACUGGUUGGUUAAACUAGGAAUAUAGCAUUUUCCAGUGGAGCCAGUUUUCAAACAACCUAAAGAAAGAAAAGCUAAUGGUAUAUGAUUCUUUCUUGUUAAUGUUAUCCACUUUAUGCUCUCUAACCUAAUACUUAUUCUCAUCUUAUUACAUCAUAUUUCUUCAUUUUUAAGACCUUAAUUGAUCAAUCUAAUCACUAUUAUUUCAUUCUUGUAAAACCUUAGAUUCUAUGCUUUAUUCGGUUUGACCUAUUUUUAUUUUUCUUUCGGUUAUGGAAUACAAUUCUAGGUUGUUUCUGCCUUUUUUUUUUCAUCAGACAAACUAAUUUACUUUUUUUACAGGAUGUUGCCACCUGAAACCAUGGUGUUUUAAAAAUUUAAUCAAUUACAUCAAUAUGUAUCCAAAUAUAUAUAUAGAAAGCAAUUUUGAUAAGACAUCUUAGUUUUAUAUUCAAGAAAAAAGAUUGUACUAUUGCAUUGUGUUUUCAGUUUCUCCCUUAUUAAAGUUAUGCUUCCAGAACUCUUAUUUAUUACAACAUUUUAAUUUAAUUUAAAAAAAUUUACCCAUUACAUUGAUUAUGUAUGACUUGUGUUUGUAGGAGCUAUCAUCACAUGCUAUGGGAAAGACAGAGAAGAAGUUUUCUGCCACCAAUUAUAUUUAUAUUCAGUG